CAGUUAUGGGUUAUAAGAGUUUGUGUGUGUGUAAGGGGGGAAAUGUUAUUAUAUGAAUCAAUCAUAUAAUGGAGAGAUACCAAACAAAACAAAAGAGAAGGAAGUGGAUAGUUAACUCCACAAUUCUUUGCAAAUUGGUGGGUAAGGGUCAUGAUGAUUUCAGGUGAGUGCAUUAAAUCUUUUUUUUUACUUCUUUACAAGCACAAAUCACUUUGAUGUUUCUCUUUCUGAAUCUUCUUUUUGACUCUGUUCAACACAAACAAACUAUGUUUCAUCUUGUAAAUUUAUCACUCUUUUUUUAGCAACAUAUGUUACGUGAGAAACCAGCUACACUUGUGUCUAGAGCCUUAAGUAUGCAGUUGUGAAAUUUAGUGCUAACUAGGUCGGUUAAGACCCUUUUGGCUAUAGCUAGUUGAUGAUUUAGAACAGGAGUGGCGUUUUUAGGGCAAUACAAAAUUACAAAUAGUUCAUUAUGAUACAAUUUGGAUCUUAGAGGCUGAGAGAAAGGAGUGUCUGUAAAGUGUUAGAUGUGCCUUGAUAGUUGAUACGAUAGUUGCCAAUUGGAAAUCUUGUUGAGAUCCAAUAUUCUUUGGAAUGAUAAUGGAUUUCGUAAUUUUCUUGAUCAUUUCCACUGAGAAUCCUGCUUCUGAACGGUGUAUUUUCACCGGAUCAAUCUCUCCGUCUACCACAUUUUCUUUUGGUUAAAGUCUCUCCGUCCACCACUUGGCGCUGUUACAUUCUCCCGCGAGUCCAACAUUGGAUGUGAUAUAGAGGCCUGGUGGACGCUUGUAAGAAUCAGUACAAAUUUACAGCCUUCAAACCUGUGUAAAAAUCCAAAUUUUUUAUCAUUAUGUUAUUAUUAAGACCAUACUUAUUGUUUGUCCAAUCACGAGCCAUACUAGAUUUACAAGUUAAUAUUCAAAUGUCUGUAAGACCAAA
Molecule: long non-coding RNA, 939 nt
Organism: Raphanus sativus (radish)
Lineage: Eukaryota; Viridiplantae; Streptophyta; Magnoliopsida; Brassicales; Brassicaceae
Exons: 2
Source: RefSeq, a predicted model, not a curated record